CGGUUCAAAGCCAGGACAUCUUUGGCAUAUCCACCAGCAGCGCCUUUGGCAUGAUAGACAGGCAGCAUAUCUUGAUCCAUCGGUAGCAGAGCCACCGAGUGAAUGACCUUAACGAUCGUUUUAGAAGUAGCGCUUUACUAGCCUGACGACUCAAAGCAAGGUCGAAAUCCAUCCCUCUUUUUAAAACUGAUUAAUUAACGACUCACCAAGCAAGGGCACGUUGCGCGGUAGUAGCCAGUUCAAGGAAGUGAAACUAAGACAGGAAACUUCCUUUUUUUUUACUUUUAAGUAAGUAAGACCCUGUCCUCUUCCCUUUCGACAUCAA
This 325-nucleotide long non-coding RNA is filed under the name Nicotiana benthamiana. RNAcentral describes it as "long non-coding RNA (NBEN_LNC006300)". The record is from RNAcentral. Lineage: Eukaryota; Viridiplantae; Streptophyta; Magnoliopsida; Solanales; Solanaceae.